This 497-nucleotide ribosomal RNA is filed under the name uncultured bacterium. RNAcentral describes it as "partial 16S ribosomal RNA". It matches the Rfam family "Bacterial small subunit ribosomal RNA", at positions 28 to 507 of the family's 1533-position model. The record is from RNAcentral.
GAUGAACGCUGGCGGCGUGCUUAAUACAUGCAAGUCGAGCGAACGGACGAGAAGUUUGCUUCUCUGAUGUUAGCGGCGGACGGGUGAGUAACACGUGGAUAACCUACCUAUAAGACUGGGAUAACUUCGGGAAACCGGAGCUAAUACCGGCUAAUAUUUUGAACCGCAUGGUUCAAAAGUGAAAGACGGUCUUGCUGUCCCUUAUAGAUGGAUCCGCGCUGCAUUAGCUAGUUGGUAAGGUAACGGCUUACCAAGGCAACGAUGCAUAGCCGACCUGAGAGGGUGAUCGGCCACACUGGAACUGAGACGCGGUCCAGACUCCUACGGGAGGCAGCAGUAGGGAAGCUUCCGCAAUGGGCGAAAGCCUGACGGAGCAACGCCGCGUGAGUGAUGAAGGUCUUCGGAUCGUAAAACGCUGUUAUUAGGGAAGAACAUAUGUGUAAGUAACUGUGCACAUCUUGACGGUACCUAAUCAGAAAGCCACGGCUAACUACGUG